UGGAAGACUAGUGAUUUUGUUGUUUUUAGAUAACUAAGACGACAACAAAUCACAGUCUGCCAUA
RNAcentral lists this microRNA precursor (64 nucleotides) under Rattus norvegicus (Norway rat). RNAcentral's name for it is "Rno-Mir-7-P2_pre stem-loop". It matches the Rfam family "mir-7 microRNA precursor family", at positions 16 to 77 of the family's 91-position model. Rfam says of the family: This family represents the microRNA (miRNA) precursor mir-7. In this case the mature sequence comes from the 5' arm of the precursor. The extents of the hairpin precursors are not generally known and are estimated based on hairpin prediction. Lineage: Eukaryota; Metazoa; Chordata; Mammalia; Rodentia; Muridae. The record is from RNAcentral.